CAGCCUUGCCUUUAGCACCUCCAAGGAUGGGGCACCUGCGGCUUCUCUGGGCAGCCUGUGCCAGUGCCAACCUCUCCCAGCCUGUUGGGAUGGCUGACGAGAGGCUGCUGCGCUGGCAGGAGGUACCCGCAUUUCCGCAGUCAGGCUCAGGGAAGCUGGCAGGAUGGAUGGCUCCGUGCAACACGCUGGGGCCAUUCCUUCCGUCACUCCUUCCCUUCAGCCCCUCUCCAUGGUGCUCAUUGUUCUCCUCCUUGCUUAGGUACUACCAUAUGGGAGCUGUGGAGAAAAGCGGCCAUUCUAUGCAUCGGUGAGUUUCUGAAGAGACAGGACAAGGAUGAGCGACAGAAAAUCAAAUUCCUGAGCAGCAUCUGCGUACUGUGCAAAUGCAAGGACACGUCGCUCGACUUGAAUACUUUCUGCCGAGAAAACCAGCUGGCAGAGAAUGUCCAGCACUGUGGAGACAGCACUGGAAGGCAAAACAGAGAGCAUCCUGAAUUCCUGCUUCAACAGUGUCUUCUUUUUGCCUCCGGAACUGGACGUACCAGAAGAGGAGCAAACUCUCUACACUAAGACCAUGAUUGCCAUGAACGUCAUGCUGCGAGCCUUGGUGCACAACUGCCCCAGCUCCAGAAUGAGGGAGGAGAUGUGCAGCAUCUUUCAGGUCUGGCAGCUACGGAGAGUGGGGUCACUAGGAGGGUUCCACACCCCGAGGGAUGCGCGUGUCGCUCCUGCAGUGGCACAGACCCUCCUUGCCCCAGACAGUCCUACAAAGGAUCCCAUCCCUGCUGCUCUGCUCUGCUCUGCUCUUCCUUCCCAGUGGGGAAGAUCCCAGAGCUCCUGCUGGAGCCACGCAAGCUCCCAGGGCAAGUACCAGCAGAUUCUCUCCUUGCAGGCUCUGCUCCACUUCUUCCACUCCCAGCACAUGCACGUUCGUACGAGAGCCCUGUACGGGGUUUUACGGAUGAUCACGGACUUUAUAGAAAAAGUAAGGAGCCAGGCACCCUCCAGCCAGGCUGUCUCCCAUCCUCCACAUCCCAGAGCAGCUCAGGGGUGCCUGCAGCCGGGGCACAGCUGGGAGCUCUCAGCAGGGCUCUGCCCCCAGACAAGGGUCUUUGCCCCUUCUUCGCCCCCGCUCUUCCCUCUCCACGCCCUGCUCUGCCUCCACUCAACCCCUCCUCUCUUCUCCUUCUGUCACCCAGGACUGGUACUGCGCUGCAAAUUGCGGGUUUAUAUAUGAGUCACUCAUCGAGGUCUACUUCCCAAUCCUGGGACAGCUGCUGGGUCACCUCUGCCUUUUCAGUUGUGGCCAACAUGCCACCAGAGUUCCAGCUACAGAUGCUCUUUAUCGCCUCUAUGCAUUUGUCAAACGCGAUAGAAGUAAGAGAAGAUGGGUUGGGCAGCAUCUCUGCGCUCCCGUGUCUGCUCGUUGUCUCCUGUUCUUGGGCACUGUUAAGCCUGGAGACCGUGGAGUCUGCAAGUUCCCUGGGCUCUUUUACUCUUCAGAGCAGCUUCAUCCUUCCUAAGCUGCCUCUCGUUCCAAGCACCCAUCACCUUUAGCUGUACAGUCCCUUUCCUCCACUCUCUUCUCCGUGGGUCCCAUCAGGCUAUGUCUGCUCACCAAUGGUCUCCAACACCACGGGUCUCCUCAGGCCUUUUCAGAUUAAAGCAGCUUUUCCCCACUUGCUGAGUUUGAUGGCAAAGACACUGUUUCCUUCUGACUCUUCUGUGUUCCCUCCCUUUUAGGAACAGCCCUGACAGAGGAGAUGGAAAAGUACGUGCAUCUCCGGGAGAAGCUGCAGGAUACUAAUUUUGCAUGCGAUAACUUGUGCAGUCCCAGUGAUUGUGCCAAGGUAACCUUCUGCCUUGCUGAGGAUCUCGUCCACAGCAUCAGCAGGAAAUGUUUGUGAG
Molecule: long non-coding RNA, 1908 nt
Filed under: Gallus gallus (chicken)
Lineage: Eukaryota; Metazoa; Chordata; Aves; Galliformes; Phasianidae
Description: lncRNA (ENSGALG00010026474.1)
Source: RNAcentral